Bos taurus (domestic cattle) is the source of this 1076-nucleotide long non-coding RNA. NCBI's taxonomy places the organism in Eukaryota, Metazoa, Chordata, Mammalia, Artiodactyla, Bovidae. The record is from Ensembl.
GAUUAGAGAUGAGCUGGGUUUUCCUUAUGGGCAUAAAAUAAACACAGGAUGAUGUAGGACUUCUGGAGAAGAGACUGUAAGAUAUCAAUGACUGUAAUGUCAUUCUUGUAUCAGGAAGUGAGAAGACUCCUGUCUUGCUGUUCCCUGAAUCCAGGGAAGGUAAGGCAUGAGCUAGGAAGCAGAUGGGAAGAAGCUGGAAGAUGUGAAGAGCUGUUUCACAACAGCAAGGCAGACAUGCUUUAUUCUCUAAUGGUUGACACUGCCAAAUCUCAGAUAAAAAAGGUGGAGAAUGACAUAACUACACCGGAUGAACCUCAAGGGAAAAGAUACAGAAAUUAUAUAAAGAAGGAAUUGAUUAACUCAGGAGCCAUGAGCAGACAAUGACCUUUCUGGAAAUCAAGUCUUAUGGAAUUAAAUUAAAUCCAUAUCCUGGACACCAGAGCAGAUCUUACUUAAGAUGUGCCCAAGUUUGCCAUUUGUAUAGUCUGGAUGACCUUGUUACCAUGAUUUUUCAAGGAAAAUGCCUCACACAAAUGCAUCACAGUUUCUUGAAAGCCCUUGAUUUUCCUUGAAUCUUGACUUCCAGCAGUCAACACAGAAAGAUCCAAGAGAAAAAGGAGUGGUGAAGAGGAAACUCUUUUACACUGAAUGGUUUUAAGAGUGGAGUUUUGGAGGCAAGGACAGAAAGCGAUCACAGAAUGGAAAACAAAGAGAACAAAUAUAAAAGCAUGGAAGAGAUGUCUAAACAAUAAAACUCAGAGCAGCAAAGGAUCCUGCCAUGCUUAGCUGAAGUCGUGAUACCUGAUCACAAUUUCUUUGCACUCUAACCACCCUUCUGAAACGAUUAUUCCUUGAAUAGAAGGAGCAGUGUCUUUUAGUAACAAAAUGGUGGUUUGUCACAUGCUCUUUAUAAUUUUCAUCAAAAUGUAAUCUAUAUUUUAAAUUUCUCCUCCUUGCCAGUCUUGUUUUAUAUUUUAUCUCCUACAAAUAUUUGCAGCCAAGAAAAUCUGGGACUCUAGAAGCAGUUUUCUAUUUAUACUUUCUGAAUAGAGUAGCACAUUGUCUUUAGGUGAAUG